UGAAGCACAAAUAUAACCUUACUAAUUCAGUUACCCCCACACUGCCUGGGACAGAUAAAAUAGCUGAUGGUUUGGAGAGUAAAACAUCCUUUGGAAAUGAUAGUCCAAAUAUUUCACUAGAUGUGGAAGCUGCUGUUAUGCUGCAGGAUACAUCACCUGGAUAUAGUAUUGACAAUGUUCAAAGGAAGAGGGUAUGUUCAGAAAGCAAGGAAGACAGUCACUGUAAACGCUUCAAAACUGAUGAUGAAAACAAAAAAGAGAAUAUUUGUACAGUGUCAGAGAAAGAGGAAAAAAUUUUGGGAAAGGUCAAACACUUGAUUCAAAAGCGUGUGGAUAUUUUAAACAAUGACGUCUUUAACCAUAAACUGGAAAGUUUAAGUGGAAGAGUUGAUCAAACACAAUGUCGAAAAAAACAUGAAGAAAUAGCUAUUACAUUUCUAGUAAGUGUUUUUGCAUUGUGCAUAUCCU
RNAcentral lists this long non-coding RNA (468 nucleotides) under Chelonoidis abingdonii (Abingdon island giant tortoise). RNAcentral's name for it is "lncRNA (ENSCABG00000017660.1)". The record is from RNAcentral. Lineage: Eukaryota; Metazoa; Chordata; Testudines; Testudinidae.